AAUCUUACGAAAGUGAGGCUAAUACCCUAUAGUUGUCGAAUACUGGAAUGUAUCGACAGCAAAAGCUCCGGCGCCUUAGAGUUGGGCUGCGGCGUAUCAGGCUGUUGUGAGUGUAAAGUACUCACAAACCUAUAACGCGUAGGGGCCAUGAGAGUGGGAGCCUCGAGAUGCCUUCUGAGACAUGAAGGCAGGUCCUACGGGACGCAGCAGGGGCGAAACCUUUCCAAUUCGCUAACGCGUGAGAAGGGAAGUCUGAGUGAUUAUGUUUUACAUAAUCUUUUGCCAAGUCCAAACAGCUUGGCGAAUAAGUGGUGGGCAAGACAGGUGCCAGCCGCCGCGGUAAUACCUGCGCCACGAAUGGUCGUCACGAUUAUUUGGUCUAAAGGGAGCGUAGCCGGGCCAACAAGUCCUUGGUGAAAUCUGGCAGCUAACUGUCAGGCGUGCUGAGGAUACUGCUGGUCUUGGAACCGGGAGAGGGCGAUGGUAUUCCACGUGUAGGGGUUAAAUCCUUUAAUCCGUGGAGGACCACCAGUAGCGAAGGCGAUCGCCUAGAACGGGUUCGACGGUGAGGCUCGAAAGCGUGGGGAGCAAAUGGGAUUAGAUACAGAUCUAAUCCGAUGAUUACCAAAGAUGAUUGGUUCUGCUAGAAACCCCAGUAGUCCACGCUGUAAACGAUGCCCGCUUGGUGUUGCAUAUUCUACGCGAAUAUGCAGUGCCGGAGCGUAGGUGUUAAGCGGGCCACCUGGGGAGUACGACCGCAAGGUUGAAACUUAAU
RNAcentral lists this ribosomal RNA (775 nucleotides) under uncultured archaeon. RNAcentral's name for it is "bacterial SSU rRNA". It matches the Rfam family "Archaeal small subunit ribosomal RNA", at positions 128 to 860 of the family's 1478-position model. The record is from RNAcentral.